This 2437-nucleotide long non-coding RNA is filed under the name Panax ginseng (ginseng). Its description in RNAcentral is "long non-coding RNA (PGIN_LNC005428)". Lineage: Eukaryota; Viridiplantae; Streptophyta; Magnoliopsida; Apiales; Araliaceae. The record is from RNAcentral.
GGUUGUGUAGGGGGAGUCCUAUAGGGGUCAAUAAUAGAGAGAGGGAGAUAGCAGCUAAGAGGUUAUUCUACCUCAUUCUCAGCUUCUCCACAUACAUGUUCCCUUCUUUCUCAAUUCUCUAUAUACCAAGUGUCAUAAUCACCGAAAAGCUUGAUAAACCCCUUCUAUGUUCGGCAAUUAGUAGCAGUUCGGCUAGUAGUGUAGUAGUGUAUGAUGUUUCAAGCAUCAUCAGUAAGAAAAGGCUGCAUAAAUAGGUCCUCUCACGCUAAAACAUCAUCAAAUUUAAGUGGGUUUAAGGUAGGUUUUCUUGUUUAUACCUUUUUUAAUAUAAAAUUUAGUAACAAGUGUUGCAUAUGAUAAUUGUGCUAUGGUUGAGUUAUUGAUUGGGUUGUGUUGGUUAAGAAGGUUUUAUGCAGGCUAAUUGGAGAGAUAAGGGUGGAAAAUUUUGUGUUUAACCACCUCUAAAAAAAACCAACGAAAGGAAUGCACAAAUCAUGUUUGAUGAAAUUCCUCUUAGGGAUGUUUAGUUUAAAAAGAAAGAAUUAGGCAAUCAUAUUAUCAAUGAAUGUUAUAUAUAUGUAUAUUGAAGUAGUUUAAAUAGAUUGGGCAAGUUAAGCUAAGUUUAAAACCUGUUUUGUGAAAGAUGAAACAAAUGAAGUUUGGGUGAAAAUUAGUGUAUCGGCCUGCUUUGGGCUAACUGUUUUGGCUAAUUAGACUUGCUGGAAAGCUAUAAUUUUUUGAGGUCUUGUGGUGUGCAAUCCCAGCUAUCCAUAGCCUCUGGAAAAAACUCGUUCCGAGUUUAGACGGUCGAGUUAUGACAUGCCAAAGUGGGUGCAUCGAAUCUGUCCAAAAAUUGUGAAGUCAGAUUCGAACCUGUCCCUUGUGCGAAUUUUCUGUAAUUAUGAGUGCAGAAUUUGGAAAAGGUUAUUGAAUAAGAGUUUUUGCCCUGGAAUUUAGCUUCCUGUGGGCGCAAAUAUCGCUCAAAAAUGUUUUAAAACGAAUUAGUUAUGACUGUUUUAGCGAGAGAGGGUAAAACUGCGAAAAUGUUAAAAAUUAUUAUGGAGGGGCAUUUUCAAGGCUUGUUAUGGGCUGGCUAAAAGACCCAAAAUGGGUGGUUUGUAUUUUUUUAAAAUAGUCUACUAUGGUUUUAAUAUCAUAUUUAAAAAUGGGAGCAAUCCGAUAAGCGAGGAAAAAGUUAAAAAUUCGCAAAAGGGGCAUAUUCAUUGUGGAGACAGCAGCAUGGCUGGUACAGUCUGCCUGGGCUAUUUCGCCUCACAGUUUGGUCAGUCUAGGUUGCUCAAUUUCAUGGGUUAAUAAAUUUUAUUAAUACAUGUAUAUCCUACCUAAAGCAUACUAAAAAUGUGUUACGAUUGGAUAUGUAGAUUUCAAGUUAUUAAGCCGCGAAGUGCGUGUCAAAUGAAAGGGGUUGCUGCCCUGUGGCAACAGCAGAUAGCAGCAGUUUGUGACAAUGGCCCUCCUCAAUUUUAGUAACUACGUAUGAGUCAUUUCUUUUACCACUACAAUUCUUAUACUACAACCUUUUUUUGUAGAUCCACGUUUUCAUUUUACAUCCACAUCGGCUAAUAGUUCGCCCUUUCCUUUUUUAUAAAACACAUACUCCUUCCUACAAAUCUCAUCGCUUCUCACCCUUUUUUUCUCAUUAAACUUUCGCAUGCUAAAACCAGAAUGCAUUGCAUAUGUAUUGUAAAAAGUGUGAACAUCAUCUAAUGUUUUUUAAAUUAUUGACUUAGCCUAGGCACAAGCUCAUCGACUACUUAAGGAUAGUAGACAAAAGUUUUAGCAUUGUUCACAUCCAACCCCUCUGCACUCAAGUCAUCCCCCUCUAUUUCUAUUUCUAUUUCCAAAUUGUAUAUGUAGUCUAAAUCCAUCUAUGCAUUAUCCCCACACAGGGGUGGAUCCAGCUUGAAAAUUCAGUGGGGUCAAAUUCGAAAAAAAAAUUCUUUAAGAAUAAAAAUUUUAUAAAAUGAAUCAUAAAACUAAAUAAUCCUCAAAUAUUGUUUACAAUAACAUUUUUCAAAGUUUUAUUACUUAAAAUUGUUGCAUGAUAGCCUUAUUUUUAAUAGUUACAAAAAUAUCAUAUCAGUAACAUUAAUAUAUUCACAAAUUUUAAGGCUUAGUGAAACAAAAUAAGUAGAGUACUAAAGUUAUAUUAGUACACUACUAUUAUGUUACUGAAAAAAAAAAUUCUACUAUUUUGUUAAUAUGAUAGAUAAACAUUUUAAUAUACUUUAAAAUGUUUAAAUUUGAUUAAGUGACUGGUGGAUUGUUCCACAACAGUUGGCAACAUUAUUGGGAGAAAAUAAAUAUAAUGAUGUUGAUCUCGAAUUUUAUACUACUACUACUAAUGAAAUGAGAGCACCCAUCUGCGCAUAAAUAUAGGAAUAUUUACUAGGCACUAUUUUUUUUCUUGGAAAAU